UUAAGAAUGUUAAAUUUAAANUGAGUUAGUAUUAGUUAUAAUNUUUAAAGCUUAAAAAUUUGGCGGUAUUUUAGUCUUUUCAAAGGAACCUGUUCUGUAAUCGAUAGUCCACGAUUAAUUGAGCUUAUUUUAUUAAUUUGUAUAUCGUUGUAGUUGAGUAUUUCAUUAGGAUAAAAAUAUUCAAAAUUAAUUAUAGUUGAAAAUAUCAAAUCAAGGUACAGUUUAUGAAUAAGAAUGAAAUGGGUUACAAUAAAUUAUAUUUAUUAUGGAUUUAUGAUUGAAAAUUGUAAUGAAGGUGGAUUU
This 303-nucleotide ribosomal RNA is filed under the name Cercyon sp. BBM-2012. RNAcentral describes it as "partial 12S ribosomal RNA". Lineage: Eukaryota; Metazoa; Arthropoda; Insecta; Coleoptera; Hydrophilidae. The record is from RNAcentral.